GGGCCAAAAGAAGGGUACAUAUACUAAAAUUGGAACGAUACAGAGAAGAUUAGCAUGGCCCCUGCGCAAGGAUGACACGCAAAAUCGUGAAGCGUUCCACAUUUUU
This 106-nucleotide small nuclear RNA is filed under the name Schistocerca americana (American grasshopper). The record is from RNAcentral. Lineage: Eukaryota; Metazoa; Arthropoda; Insecta; Orthoptera; Acrididae.